Pyrus x bretschneideri (Chinese white pear) is the source of this 141-nucleotide small nucleolar RNA. RefSeq annotates it as small nucleolar RNA Z247. The transcript has a single exon. The record is from RefSeq and is a predicted model, not a curated record. NCBI's taxonomy places the organism in Eukaryota, Viridiplantae, Streptophyta, Magnoliopsida, Rosales, Rosaceae.
CCGAUUUCUGAUUCUGAUAUGGUUGCUUAUAUUCUUGCUGGUCUUCCUGAUGAGUAUGAAUCGUUUGUUGAUUCGAUUGAAACAAGAAUUGAGUCUGUGAAUGGUGAUGAACUCCAUGGCCUCUUACUCAGCAAGGAGAUC